UGGGGAAUAUUGGACAAUGGGGGGAACCCUGAUCCAGCCAUGCCGCGUGUGUGAAGAAGGCCUUAUGGUUGUAAAGCACUUUAAGCGAGGAGGAGGGUACUGGUAUUAAUACUACCAGGUCCUGGACGUUACUCGCAGAAUAAGCACCGGCUAACUCUGUGCCAGCAGCCGCGGUAAUACAGAGGGUGCGAGCGUUAAUCGGAUUUACUGGGCGUAAAGCGUGCGUAGGCGGCUAAUUGAGUCGGAUGUGAAAUCCCCGAGCUUAACUUGGGAAUUGCAUUCGAUACUGGUUAGCUAGAGUGUGGGAGAGGAUGGUAGAAUUCCAGGUGUAGCGGUGAAAUGCGUAGAGAUCUGGAGGAAUACCGAUGGCGAAGGCAGCCAUCUGGCCUAACACUGACGCUGAGGUACGAAAGCAUGGGGAGCAAACAGG
RNAcentral lists this ribosomal RNA (430 nucleotides) under Pseudomonadota bacterium. Its description in RNAcentral is "Proteobacteria bacterium partial 16S ribosomal RNA". It matches the Rfam family "Bacterial small subunit ribosomal RNA", at positions 355 to 776 of the family's 1533-position model. Lineage: Bacteria; Pseudomonadati; Pseudomonadota. The record is from RNAcentral.